Molecule: ribosomal RNA, 1548 nt
Filed under: uncultured bacterium
Lineage: Bacteria
Description: bacterial SSU rRNA
Rfam family: Bacterial small subunit ribosomal RNA
Source: RNAcentral
UACGGAGAGUUUGAUUCUGGCUCAGAACGAACGCUGGCGGCGUGUUUAAGACAUGCAAGUCGCACGGGACUAGUUGAGUAGUAAUACAAGGCUAGUUUAGUGGCGCACGGGUGAGUAACAUGUGAAUUACAUGCCCUAUAGUGGGGAAUAGCCCAGGGAAACUUGGAUUAAUACCCCAUAGUCUCGCAAGAGUAAAGGUGGCCAGUAGUAAUAUUGGCUGUCGCUAUAGGAUUGGUUCGCACCCUAUCAGCUUGUUGGUGAGGUAAUGGCUCACCAAGGCUACGACGGGUACCUGGUCUGAGAGGACGAUCAGGCACACUGGAACUGAGACACGGUCCAGACACCUACGGGUGGCAGCAGUCGAGAAUAAUUCACAAUGGGGGCAACCCUGAUGGUGCAACGCCGCGUGGAGGAUGACGGUCUUCGGAUUGUAAACUCCUGUCAUCUGGGAGUAAGGCAUGGUCGUGAAUAGCGAACAUGAUUGAUAGUACCAGAAGAGGAAGGGACGGCUAACUUCGUGCCAGCAGCCGCGGUAAUACGAAGGUCCCAAGCGUUGUUCGGAAUCACUGGGCGUAAAGGGAGCGUAGGCGGCGUGGUAAGUCAGAUGUGAAAUCCCGAGGCUCAACCUCGGAACUGCAUCCGAUACUGCCAUGCUAGAGGAUUGGAGAGGUAGCUGGAAUUCUUGGUGUAGCAGUGAAAUGCGUAGAGAUCAAGAGGAACACUCGUGGCGAAAGCGAGCUACUGGACAAUUCCUGACGCUGAGGCUCGAAGGCUAGGGUAGCGAAAGGGAUUAGAUACCCCUGUAGUCCUAGCAGUAAACGGUGCACGCUUGGUGUGAGGGGAAUCGACCCCCCUUGUGCCGGAGCUAACGCGUUAAGCGUGCCGCCUGGGAAGUACGGUCGCAAGACUAAAACUCAAAGAAAUUGACGGGGACCCGCACAAGCGGUGGAGUAUGUGGCUUAAUUCGAUGCAACGCGAAGAACCUUACCAAGGCUUGACAUGCAUCUCUAAACACGUGAAAGCGUGUGACCCUUCGGGGAAUUUGCACAGGUGCUGCAUGGCCGUCGUCAGCUCGUGUCGUGAGAUGUUGGGUUAAGUCCCGCAACGAGCGCAACCCUUGUGAUUAGUUGCCAGCACGUUAAGGUGGGAACUCUAGUCAGACUGCCCAGAUCAACUGGGAGGAAGGUGGGGACGACGUCAGGUCAGUAUGGCCCUUACGCCUUGGGCUGCACACGUACUACAAUGCCCAGCACAAUGAGAACCGAUACCGCGAGGUGGAGGAAAUCUGUAAAACUGGGCUCAGUUCGGAUUGGAGGCUGCAACUCGCCUCCAUGAAGUUGGAAUCGCUAGUAAUGGGGCAUCAUCUACGGCCCCGUGAAUACGUUCCCGGGUCUUGUACACACCGCCCGUCACAUCAUGGAAGCCGGUCGCACCCGAAGUGCUCGUACCAACCAGUAAUGGGGGUAGAGUCCUAAGGUGUAGCUGGUAACUGGGAUGAAGUCGUAACAAGGUAGCCGUAGGGGAACCUGCGGCUGGAUCACCUCCUUU